This 239-nucleotide unclassified non-coding RNA is filed under the name Hevea brasiliensis (rubber tree). Lineage: Eukaryota; Viridiplantae; Streptophyta; Magnoliopsida; Malpighiales; Euphorbiaceae. The record is from RNAcentral.
AAAAGACUCAACCAAUAAAGCGGAUUCCUAAUUCCACUCAACCAUAGAACAUUUAACACUAAUAGGAGACUAUCUUAAAGGCCUAUAUAAAGGUCAUCAAGUAUGCAUACUAAACAAUUAUUCAUUCAUCCUAUUGUCCAGAUUUCAUUAUUGACUUAGGCAUCGGAGCAAUGGUCAUCUAACCAACAUGGUGCUCUUCUUUCUUGCAGAUCCUAUCUGACAUCCAUUACCCACCAAAG